This 398-nucleotide ribosomal RNA is filed under the name uncultured bacterium. Its description in RNAcentral is "partial 16S ribosomal RNA". It matches the Rfam family "Bacterial small subunit ribosomal RNA", at positions 523 to 918 of the family's 1533-position model. The record is from RNAcentral.
AUACGUAGGGUGCGAGCGUUGUCCGGAAUUACUGGGCGUAAAGAGCUCGUAGGUGGUUUGUCGCGUCGUCUGUGAAAUUCCGGGGCUUAACUCCGGGCGUGCAGGCGAUACGGGCAUAACUUGAGUACUGUAGGGGGGACUGGAAUUCCUGGUGUAGCGGUGAAAUGCGCAGAUGUCAGGAGGAACACCGGUGGCGAAGGCGGGUCUCUGGGCAGUAACUGACGCUGAGGAGCGAAAGCAUGGGUAGCGAACAGGAUUAGAUACCCUGGUAGUCCAUGCCGUAAACGGUGGGCGCUAGGUGUAGGGGUCUUCCACGACUUCUGUGCCGUAGCUAACGCAUUAAGCGCCCCGCCUGGGGAGUACGGCCGCAAGGCUAAAACUCAAAUGAAUUGACGGGG